GUACACGCUGUGACUAGCAUAUCAAUAAGCGGAGGAAAAGAAACUAACAAGGAUUCCCCUAGUAACGGCGAGUGAAGCGGGAAGAGCUCAAAUUUGAAAUCUUAAAGGGUUUCCCUUUACGAAUUGUAGUUUAAAGAAGUGUUUUCUGUUGAGGUUUUGGUAAAAGUUCUUUGGAAUAGGACAUCAUAGAGGGUGAGAAUCCCGUAUUUGACCUUUACUUUCAACUUUGUGAUACACUUUCAAAGAGUCGGAUUGUUUGGGAAUGCAGUCCAAAAUGGGUGGUAAAUCUCAUCUAAAGCUAAAUAUUGGCGAGAGACCGAUAGCGAACAAGUACCGUGAGGGAAAGAUGAAAAGAACUUUGAAAAGAGAGUUAAACAGUACGUGAAAUUGUCAAAAGGGAAGCGUUUGACACCAGUGUUGUUUUUCUGAAAAUCAAUUAAAGAACUGUUUAUGCUAAGUUGUUUAGACUUUAUCAGCUAACUGUUUAGUUUUGAGCUUUUCUUUAAUGCACUUUUCAGUUAACAAGUCAACAUCAAUUUCUUUUGCUGUAAAAAAGCUUGAGGAAGGUGGCUUGAGAUUCGUCUUAAGUGUUUAUAGCCUCUUGCCUAUGCAGUCGGAGAGAUUGAGGUCUGCAGCGUAGAUCCUUCGGGGCUAAAUGCAUUUGUGCUAAGUUAUAACAUUUUAUAGACAACUUGUUGACUAUGAUUUGUCUUGUAGCUUACUCGCUUAUGUUAUUUUACCUACGCUUAGGAUGUUGACGAGACUGUCGAUCUC
This 774-nucleotide ribosomal RNA is filed under the name uncultured Neocallimastigales. Its description in RNAcentral is "partial large subunit ribosomal RNA". It matches the Rfam family "Eukaryotic large subunit ribosomal RNA", at positions 22 to 646 of the family's 3401-position model. Lineage: Eukaryota; Fungi; Neocallimastigomycota; Neocallimastigomycetes; Neocallimastigales. The record is from RNAcentral.